GAAAAACCCCAACAUGGCGCCUAAAGACCCUCUUCUUUAUUUUCUUUCACUGGCGCGAAACGUUCCCCCUGUUCAAAUCCUGUGGGUAGGAACCUUAGCCUCAAUAAGAAUUAACUUCUUGGGCUCUGGAACUGACAUAGGGAAGAGCUUGCCAAUAAAUGGGUUACCCGUUAUCUACCUCAGCCCUGCCACUUCUCCUUAGGUCUAUAUAAACCCACAGCCUUUUGUAAUAAAGCAAAACCUCUCCGGUAAUU
Molecule: long non-coding RNA, 254 nt
Filed under: Ictidomys tridecemlineatus (thirteen-lined ground squirrel)
Lineage: Eukaryota; Metazoa; Chordata; Mammalia; Rodentia; Sciuridae
Description: lncRNA (ENSSTOG00000032403.1)
Source: RNAcentral